Long non-coding RNA from Alexandromys fortis (reed vole), 2241 nucleotides. RefSeq lists it as uncharacterized. Lineage: Eukaryota; Metazoa; Chordata; Mammalia; Rodentia; Cricetidae. The record is from RefSeq and is a predicted model, not a curated record. The transcript has 2 exons.
CUGCACGGCCUCACCCCCCCCUCCUUCCGCCCCCCGGGCCUCGGAACGGAGCGGGCGAAUCGCUGGGAGGGGCGCGGAGCAGAGCCUGGCCACACCCCCCGGGCCGGCUUUUUCUAGGGCUGCGGCGAGCCACUGGGCGCUGGCUGCUCCCGCUCGCCUCUUGGGGUGCGCUCAGCUCCAGCCCAACUCCAGCCCGACUCCAGCCCGACUCCGGCCCGACUCCGGCCCGACUCCAGCCCGACUCCGGUCCGACUCCAGCCCGACUCCAGCCCGACUCCAGCCCGACUCCGGCCCGACUCCAGUCCGACUCCGGCCCUGCUCCGGCUCUGCUCCAGCCCGGAUCCUGCCCUGCUCCAGCCUGGCUCCUUUUCUCCUCCGCCACGCCUCUCUGUGAGCUCCGCACCCCGACUCCCAGCUCCCAACUUUCGGUCCCUCUGUCGCUCAGCGUCCCGUACCCCCGUGACCUCGCGCCCUCCCAAGACCCUGUGCCCGAUCUUCUACCCCCCUCAACCCCGCCACAGCCCUCCGCCCUUUCUCUCUCGCUCUCCGUCUGUCCGGACGUCAGUCGGUCUGUCUGUCCGCCUCCCCACCCUCCUUUUCCUUCCUCUGUCCCGCGUCUCUGGCUUGUUCGCUAGUUCGACUUGGCGGAGCAGCUUCGCAGGAAAAUCCCAGAAACCAUUGCAAAAAGCUUACAAUGAAAUUUAAGAAGUUCUACGAUUUCGGCGCCAUUUUCGAGUGGAGUGAGAGGUGACUUGCGAUCUAAAAAAAAAAAAAGGAGGGGGAGGGGACUUUUAGGCUGACCUUUCCCGUCCCCCCCCCCCCCAACUAUGAGGCUAGUCACUGCAGACUGUAACAGAUGCGGGGAUAAUUCUGAAAAAAAAAAGUUUUGUGUCGCGCUGAGUGGAGGGUGGGGGUGGAAAGUGUGUUUGGGGGGGUCGGUGUGGGGAGAGGACAGAGUGUGCCCCGAGAACUCAGAAAAUAGUCUGAGAAGAGUGAACGGGGAAGAGCAGAGAGAAAAGUGAGUGGGGGCGGUGGCCUGCUGUCAGCCUCGCCAGGGUGGGGAGCGACUGGUUUUGACAGACUAUAAAUGGACUUUAGGCGACUCUCAUCUGUAAGCAGUAAAGACUGUCCUGGAAAGAAACGUAAAAUUCACUUUACAUUGUCCCUCCCUAACUAAAACUUUUUAAGGUUGUUUAAGCUCUUCCAGUAUGAAACUCGACGUUGGAAAAGUUCGGCUCGAAGGUGCGGAGGACGUGUACACCGUGCGUUUUGGGUGUGGGGGCGCAAGGCAUCUGCAACGUUAAAAGACGAGACGUUCUCAACUGUGAAGAGAGGAAGAGGCGUAGUCUUUGGCUCUUAAAUCAUUUGGCCAAACACGUCGCAGUUCUGAAGGGGGUGGGGCCAGGGCAACUCCAAAGUAUUGAUUCUUUGUCUUUUCUAUUCAGCCAAUGACCCUCUCUAGAAGUGACCAGACGCCUCUUUGUGUUCUCCUUUCGGCGACCAUCAACGAUUUUUUUCUCCAUUAUUCCGCCGUGUCCAUGUAAAAAUAAUUUGUAAUAUAGCCAAGACAAGAUGGAAUUUAGAGACUCCAACUUAAGGAGUAGAGCUAUUAUUAUUAAUGGCUUUAUUUAUCAUGACCUUAUGGCUUUAUUAUUAGUGCAUUUGUUAGCAUUGGAUCACAAUCUGUUGUGUUAGGCAUUUUGUACUUAGUUUAAUUACAUACUCUGUAUAUUUAAUUAAUCAAUUAGUUAAUAGGACCCAGCAUUCAUUGUACUAGUUUUGAAUAACGGACAUAAUUUUAAAUGAAAAUACAGGAAGUUUGGUGAGGUUCAAUCUCUGUUUAUGUAUACAGAAUGUAUUUUUACUUUCAAAGGCAGUAUAGUUUUAUUGUUUUAAUUAUUAGGCCUGUGGCUAAGGACCGACGGAUUUUUUUUGUGUGUGUGCUUUCUUGAAUGUUUUGUUUAAACAAAGGGAAAUGAAUGAAUGUAACUUACUGCUCAUGUGUCCAUUUUGAGAGUCAAGAACGGGAGCGUGCACAGUGCCGGCCAUUUCAAGACAUGAGUUUCUGUGGAGUUGCUCGAGAAGGAACCAUUUGACAUCAAGUAUUUAAAGUUGAUUUGUGGUUUGAUAAGUGACAUUGACAAAUGUAAAGUAUUUGUGAAUAAGUUUGAAUAACCUGCAAUGUAUGAAAACAUCUAGGGGUUUCAUCUAUAGAAUAUUCUCAUGCUUAAAAUCAACUAA